Molecule: transfer RNA, 67 nt
Filed under: Vulpes zerda (fennec fox)
Lineage: Eukaryota; Metazoa; Chordata; Mammalia; Carnivora; Canidae
Description: tRNA-Val
Rfam family: tRNA
About the family: Transfer RNA (tRNA) molecules are approximately 80 nucleotides in length. Their secondary structure includes four short double-helical elements and three loops (D, anti-codon, and T loops).
Source: RNAcentral
CAAAGUGUAGCUUAAUAAAAGCAUCUGGCUUACACCCAGAAGAUUUCAUAACUAAUGACCACUUUGA